CCUACGUGUGGCAGCAGUGGGGAAUAUUGGACAAUGGGCGAAAGCCUGAUCCAGCCAUGCCGCGUGUGUGAAGAAGGCCUUCGGGUUGUAAAGCACUUUCAGUGGGGAAGAAAGCCUUGGGGCUAAUACCCUCGAGGAAGGACAUCACCCACAGAAGAAGCACCGGCUAACUCCGUGCCAGCAGCCGCGGUAAUACGGAGGGUGCGAGCGUUAAUCGGAAUUACUGGGCGUAAAGCGCGCGUAGGCGGUCUGAUAAGCCGGUUGUGAAAGCCCCGGGCUCAACCUGGGAACGGCAUCCGGAACUGUCAGGCUAGAGUGCAGGAGAGGGAGGUAGAAUUCCCGGUGUAGCGGUGAAAUGCGUAGAGAUCGGGAGGAAUACCAGUGGCGAAGGCGGCCUUCUGAACUGACACUGACGCUGAGGUGCGAAAGCGUGGGUAGCAAACAGGAUUAGAUACCCUAGUAGUC
This 465-nucleotide ribosomal RNA is filed under the name Vreelandella stevensii. RNAcentral's name for it is "partial 16S ribosomal RNA". It matches the Rfam family "Bacterial small subunit ribosomal RNA", at positions 338 to 795 of the family's 1533-position model. The record is from RNAcentral. Lineage: Bacteria; Pseudomonadati; Pseudomonadota; Gammaproteobacteria; Oceanospirillales; Halomonadaceae.